UAGGGAAGUGACCUGUACCCAGUUUGCAAGAUGAAGCCGAAGACAUGUAACACAGAGGAAGCCCUAUGUGGCAGCAGGUGUAGAAGCCGUAUUGAUGGAACAGAGGAACUGCAGUGGCAGAAGUACAGCCUGAGGAAAAUUCCAGGUGGUUCAAAACGGAAAACGGACUACCAGUGUGACCCCACUGCAGGCAGCGUUGGGAAAGGCAGCACACCGUGAUCGAGGAUUCCCACCACCCGGAUGCCACAGACAUGGACAACCUGGAGGGCACAGAGAGUAAGACAAGGUCGUAAAACUGCCAUUAGGAAGUGACCAGUUUUUUUUUUUUAUUAUUUGUUUGUUUGUUUUUGUCUGAGGCGUGGCAUGCAGGAUCUUAGUUCCCCGACCAGGGAUCGAACCCCAGCCCCCUGCAGUGGAAGCACAGAGUCUUAACCACUGGACUGCCCCAAGUCCCCAAGGAAGUGACAAGUUUUGAGUGUCUCUUACCUCUGCUUGUAAUGUAAACUAUUUAAUUUAAUUUUUUAUAAUGAUUCACUCACCACAUUCCCUUUCUCUCUCUCUCUCUCUGUCUCUCUCCCUCAGUUGUGUAAUCUACUACAAGUCUUAAGUCUAGGUCUCCUAUACAAAACAAUAAUAUAAAAUCGAAAUAUCAGAAAAGUCAUCUGCUGUAGUGCAAAGAAAUUAGUCCAUCAACUUGGAGAGACAGAAGACCUGCAGCUUGCAGCUCCAUGUACUUGGUUUAAAGUCCCACGAUGCUCAAUGAUUCGAGAGAAAAUUAAUUCGAGCACCUGACAACCACUGUGGAAACAGUGGCUACACCUAUGUCGGUUCUAUUACAUUAAAAUAAAAUUAAGACAACAAAGAAGGGCUUUGGGGACAUUUCUAUGCGUCUGACCAUUUCCUAAGGAUUUACACAGGUGCUCAAUGAAUAAGACAAAUAAAUUUGAGAAAGGAAAUAUUACGAGUUAAGCAAAAAAAAAAAAAAAAAAAGCAAUCUGGAGGUGGUGAUAAAAGCAUUUUCGAGAUCCUGUUCACUUUUUCAACUUUUUGUUGUUGCUGUUAGCCUCGGCUAUGGUACCAGCCUACUCCGAGCUAAGUACGCAUGGAACACAUGAAGUUUCCAGAUGAAAACCAGGCUCAUACGGAAGAACGAGAUAUUCAAAAUGAUAUCCUGAGUUUUAUUAAAGCAAAACACACUGCAGAACACAAAUAAUUCUAAGAAAGUAAUAGCCAUUACCUCACACUAGUCACUCUGCAUGAUUGAAACUAACAGGGAAAUUUCACCAGGAAAAAAUUACAGUCAUUUUCUGUGUUUGUUUCUAUUAUUACCUACCUAGGCAGUAGGUUAUGAAACAAAGAAUUGCAGUAGAAUUUGAACAAGAGCGAACUCCCCGUCCACGUUUGCAACAAACAGAAGAGCUUCCACCAACUAAGCAAGUGCUCACGACCAAGUCAAAUGCUAAAAUGCACAUCUGAUAAAGAGCCACUGGACUGGGAAUAAAUAAUAAUUAGGCAGGAGUCUAUGAAAGCUGUAAAUAAUAACAAGGCCCCACGGGAAACGCUGUCUGACUAUAUCAACAAACCUUGUCUCUUGGAGCUAAACGAUCGAAACCUUUUUCUCGGAACUCAGAAUAAAGCACGUUUAUUUGGUUUAAUGAACUCCCUAAGGAUUCGGUGACGACCGCAUCUUUCUGUAAUACUUUGGUUGCCCUGCUUCUAAGGAAAGGUACCAUGAUGCACGGCUACCACACCUUCCUCAGAUGUGCGCCUUCCCAGGGGCAGGACAGAGGCAGGUGUGGUGGACGAACAGUGCAGGGGCUUAUUCCUCUUAAAGCAAAAUGGAAACUGACAAUAGGAAGAACUCUGACGAAAACAUAACAAAACUGCGUUCAGACGGUCAAAUAGUAAUUGACACUGGCAACAAGGCACAGGCCUCUGCUUAGGAACGCCACACGUUUUUGUGUUUUAUCAGCCCAGAACUGCAAUCAGGCAUCAGGUCCUUUUCUGACUCCUGGAGCAGACUUGAUCCUCCUUCUAGGCGCAUCCCUCAGGAACACUGAGUGGGAACUUCUCAGUGUCCCUGUCCCUGUCUUACGAGCCCCUCGUUCCCCUCAUUUCUGCUGGUAAGCUUCCUGGGCCAGGUGCUGCUUUGGAAUUUAAAUGUGUUAUGGUUUUCGCUGCAGUUGGUGUAAUAAGUUGAAGCUCCUCUCCAGGGUCAAAAAAAAAAAGACCAGACUAGUGGGGAGACAGGCGAACACCAGACAAAAAUGGAGUCUGGAGUCAGUCAGACUUGGACGCAGGCUACUAACACCAUCAGUUACUGAUUGGAUGACCUUGGCUCUCUUGCCGCCCACCUCCCCAAAUACCAACGUACAUCACAUCUAUGCAGUAAUAAGUGUGGGUCCCUUGAACUGGACCCCUCAGAGAAUAAAGAGAAAACUGUAUAACCAUCUCCCACUUGCCAUUUCUGUAGAGUCCACAGGGUAUGACGCAGCCACCCUGGAAUGAGAGUGAGAAAAGUAUCUGAGCUAGAUUGUAUACAGUACUAUGUCAUUCUGUAAAGAAUGGGAGAGUUGAAAGUGGUUAAAAGCAAUAGUCUGGAACUAAAAAUGGAAAGAUUGGGCAAGAUAUUAGAAACAAACCACCACAGCAACCUCCCAAGUCGUAACAAGAAUUGGGCAAUAGGAGGACGGCCUGAGUCACCGUCAAGGAGAGGAGGCAACGAUAGGUCAGAAUGUGGAUAGAGCAUAUGCUGGAGAGAGGACAGACGAAGACAGCUUGAGGCUGGAGAGAGGACAGAUGAAGACGGCUUGAGGGCUCUUCCUGAGUGUACACCCUCGGCCAAGAUCGCAGACUCAUAGGACGUUGGUGGGAAAAGACUUUGGUAAACAUCUAGCCCAGCACUUUCUUCUUGCUGCCAAAAUGUUGUGCCUUGAAUUCCUGUCCUCAUGCCACUUCAAGUGGUUUGAGAUUGUUUUUGAUUCUGUGCAAAAGUUCGGGAGACCUCAGGGACAGGCUGCCUGGAGACCUGGAGUUGCUGGCGAAGACUGUGCCCAGGCCAGCUGCCGGCGGGCAGGUUAGGAUCAUCCCUUCCCAACUGCUAGCGACAGCCGCAGGCAUACACGCAAGCCCCGCCCCUGCGCCUCAGCUUUCCCACUCAGACUGCGAGGGUGCGGAGUCAUGCCGCUUCGGAAGUUCUCCCUAGCUCUGCAACUUCACCAUUUGCCAGGCUUCGUCCCCACCUCCGUUUUAAGCAGAGUUUUCUUUCCUACACAAAGCGAAUCUCCGUUCCAGAUGUGUGGUGUGUUGGAAAGAACAGAAGAUCUGGAAAUAGAAAGAUGUACGUUUCACUCCUGCUCUCCAUUUUCGAUGGGUAUGAUAUCUAAGCCCCCUGCUUCAUUUCCUUGUCUGUAAAAUGGGAUAAUAAUAUUGUAGGAAACAAAUGGCACAAAACGUCCUUGGUGCAGUAUGAGACACGUAGUUAAGUGCUAAAUAAAUACAGUUUAUUAUAAUUAGUGUUGUGGACAAAGUAUCCAAAGUUACAAGCUUCCCCUCCUGCUACGCGAAGUCUUAUUUUUCUUCUAGGCUAUCUUUAACAUCUAAAAACUCUAAGAUAAACCAUUUUAGGUGAUCAUUUUAUUUCCAACUUUAGGAGAUCCUCCCUUGGUCCACUUAGAAGAGCAACAGACCUGACCUCUGCCUACGAAUUGCAAACCAGCAGCAUCUGAGUACACAACCAGCACCCUGGAGUUUUACAAUUCCCCCCCGCCCCAACUCACUGGCAGGACACUUCAUACAGACUGGCCCCUUUUAAGUGACCUUAAAUUCCAUGCACACUGUUUCCAGCAUUCAUCAUUCUCUGCACUAUUUGCAUAGUCCAGAUUUGCAAACUGCAAGUUGUAGUCCAACUUGCAAAUUGUCCCUCAAGGGAACAAGGGCAUUUACAAAACAGGGACAAACCUUGCAGAGAGGCUUGAGAAUGGCUUACCUACCUUAGACCUCCGAAAAGGUGUGGGUCAACUGCUUGCUUCCUGUAGCCUACAAGUGUAAGUCGUGGUGAGCUUCAAAGUGUAAUUCUUAUUCUGAGCUACAUCUAACAUUACACUCAAGAACAAGACCUGGCUCACACCAGCGAAGCAGAAGAGCGUGAGGCCCAGAGGAUGCAGAAACAGUUACGACUGCACUAGGCUGCAGGGGAACAGGCCCGGAAAGCCCAUAUGACAGUCACAGAAAUUCCCCCACUGCCAUUCCGACAAGGCUGAGAGCAGGAUACUAUCAAACCCGAGGGGGAGGUCUCUCUGUUUAUCUGUCAUGACUCUUCCCAAUUUGGUGGUCUCCCAGAGAAAGAAGCUUCCAAUAAACAGAAGCUUAGGACUCUCAGAAGAUGAUCCUCACUUAUCCAGCAGGUCACGUGACAGCCCCAAGGUCACAGCCCCAUCAAGAGAACAAGCACAGACGGUGCUCCUGGGCGGAGGAUGAUUACAACGCCACAGAGUGAAGUAGUGUGGCCUUUUCACUGGGACAGAAUUAGCUGUAGGAACCUGGGCUGCAUUCCUAUUAAAGAUGCUAACCUGCUCCUACCUUUGCAAAGCCCGAGUAACAUUCUCUGUGUUGCUGACUUCUAAUGACGAUUUUGCAUCCCUGCCCUAGAGCACCUGCUUUGCACCUGUGCCAGCUGUAACCCACACCUGCGCUGACUACAUCAAUGGCCCAACUCCUGCCGGUAAACCUAACUCACGCUGAUUUCCACCCUUCCCACCAGGCCUCUGUCUGGUGAGCAGUACGCUCCUCCCUCCUACAUCUCAGUUUUUGCUGUCCCGGUACCACCACACAGCCCAAGGGAUGCGAGUCCAAAGCCAACAUUUCUUCUGCCAUUGAGUUCAGAUAAAGCAAAAUGCACUAAUUAGAUCGUAUUCCAAACACCAGUUUUCAUGCUUUAUGAUAGAUUUAGGACUCCUGGAAGAGAAGCUAAUGAUAACAGCAGGUCACGCCAAGGAAGGGCCGUCCGUGGGGAUGGACUCCUGCCCACGGGCGCUGCCAGACACUGAGGGUGCACAACACACCCUCACCUCGUCUCCCAAGAUGUCCAUCUCAGUCCUGACCCUCAACACAUCUGGCUGGGACCCGACGGCCCUGAGCUUUCUGAGAACAGCAAUCAGGAGAAGGGAACAAUUUGUCCAACAGCUCCGUGGCAGGCAAGGGUUUUUGCCUUUGGCAACUUCCUUAGAUGGUUGAAAGAUUUAAAGAUUUUUCAACCCGAGUGUGCGGCUCUGACUUCCCCACUUUCUCGGAAUCCCCUUCUCAACAGCCUGAUCUCUGGUUUCCAUCCCCCAGCACUCCAAUAACACUGCCCUUUCCAAGGCCAUCCACAGCCUCAUUCUGAAUAAAUCUCAAGGCGAUUUUUCUGUUCUCGUCCUCCUUCUCCACACCCUCUUUCUUGAAAGUCUCUCCUGUCUUCCCUUGCAAAGUGUGGGCUCUUUUCUCUUGAGUUGCCUCCUUCCUGCCAACUUUUCCUCUGCACGCUAUCCUUCUCUGACACUGCUGAGCUGUGCUUGUCCCCCUAAGCGUUAACCUUCUCCUUCUCCUUCUUAUUCUUCCCCUUCUCCUUCGUCUUCUGUUUCUAUAUACACACACACCCAGCAAUCAGCUGCAAAACCACUUAGAACUCCCCGGGGAGCUUUUAUCCCCAGCUGCAAACGCUCCGGGCACCGGCGGAGCCCUCUGUGCUUUGGCCACCAGGCUAAAACCCUUACCUGCCCACACUCAGGACAGGGCAAACCCUGACAAAAAUAAAAUGCCUUUUGCUUGGAGAUGAGUGAUCCCACCUCUAUAACGCUGCCUCUUUGAACCCCCAAAUCAAUGUUUGGUUUCAAAACUGAAGUUCAGAGCCUGGUUGAUGUGAAAUUCACUUCCCGUCCUUGAGACUCUGCAGACUAAAAUCGAUGCUGACCUCGACUUGUUUCCUUCAAAGCCCCUUCCAAAUUGUUGGCCUCGGUCCCAUCUUCUUCUACUUCUUAACAUUAAACUUGGCACCUCCGUCUUAACGUGACAGCGCUCACAGCCUCUUUCCAAUCUAGUUCACCUUUACUCCAUCACCCAGGGGCAAAAAAGAUGCCUGAAACAGAGCCCUACUUCUCGCUGAGGGGCAAGGUAGGCUGAGCUUGCGCAGAAUUUACAGACUGUGGUCAGGGUUAGGAAGGAGAGCUCCACAUGCAGCGUGAGGGGGUCACAGGCCUAGCUGACCACCUCGGAGGUUGAGGGGAGAGGGCGCCCACAGGCUGGGGCCCGGAGGGCAAGGAGCAGCCCACCCCCAACGGAGCCCAGUGGGAAGAGCCUUCCAGGAGGCAAGCCUGGGAUGGGCAGCCGCCCUGCAACCAGAGGAGUCAUGAUGCAUGUGGCGGUCAGGGGAAAAGGCCAGCAUGACCGGACUGCAGAGAACAGCUCUGGCCUCAGACGUGAGACUGGAGUCAGAUCAAGUAGGGCUUUACAAACCAUGCUGAGAAGACUGAUUUAUUUUAUUUCCCCCCAUAAAAGGAUAUUACUCAAUUACUUUAAUCUUAUUUUAAAAUUUUUACUGGAGUAUAGUUGAUUUACAAUGCUGUGUUGGUUUCAGGUGUACAGCCAAGUGAUUCAAUCAUACAUAGACCUGUAGCCACUCUUUUUUAGGUUCUUUUCCUGUGCAGGUCAUCACAGAGUAAUGUACGUACAGUAGGUCUCUAUUAGUUACCUACUUAUAUAUAGUAGUGUACGUGUAUGUCGAUCCCAAUCUCCCAGUUUAUCCCUUCCGCCCCCCUUAACCCCUGGUAACCAUAGUUUAUUUUCUACAUCUUCAAUUACUUUAAUCCUGACAUGACCAGAAUUGCCAUGCAUGCAGCACACACUGAGGCCUGGGUUGGGGGAGGUGCAGGAAAACCGGUUAAGAAGCCUGAGACGCCUACGGCAGUGACUCCUUAAAGGAGCUCAGAGUUAGUGGGAAAAAUUGUUACCAAAUCAGUCGAGCAAGACUUUGCACCUCUCCCCUUACCUGGAAAGAUUAAACCUCUAGUAACUGGAAUCAAGAGCUCCAAGUUUAGCUCUUUUGCAUAUUCCCCUGGUGAUUUUCACCAAAAAUGCCUUCCUAAAGAUUCCUACGGAAAUAUUAAAACAUAAUUACACAGUAAUCCUAAAAGACAAGGCUAUACAUACAUGUGAUAUUGCUGCUGCCGGAGCUGACCUUUCAAGUUGUAGCCUGCACCAGGGAGUGUAACAGAUUUAGGGAAACCGUGUGAAAAAGGCAGCCUGCAAACUCUUGUGUCUGUGUUCUCAUGAGAUGCAAACACAACAACAAUGGUUGCCACACCUGAGUAAGCAACGUGGGGAAACAGCCAAACAGGAGGGGUAGCAACGUGGAGAGGGUGCUACAACCAGUUCACCCAGGGCCACGGAAGAUGGGCUGCUCACCGGCUCAGGGGCGCAGCUUGUUUCAGGCUCCACCAAGCACAGGCACUGAACAGCAAAGUCAGAAGGAUUAAGUGACUCUGCCGCCUGCGUGUGUGCUGGCCCUAUAGCUGGGUCUAGAAGAUGCCAACUGGCACUCAGGCCGAAACUCCCUUCUUAAGGAGAAACCAGCACUCCCCUUGCUCAGACCAGAAUUUCUCCUUCUGGUUUAACCCCUCCUAGAAAACCAUCCUUGGCUUUGCAAACCUAUGUAAAAACACAGCCCCCGCUCCCUGGCUCUCCUGCCCUCCCCAACACGCAUCUGCAAACCCCUCCUAGGCACAAAUGCAAGACAGUUGCCAGUCGUCCUUCUGGGGAUUCGUAGGGCAACCAGCCAACUGGCCGCCAGCAGGUUAUUCACGCUGCAAUAGGAACCAAAUUUCUUGCUGCAAUUAUCCUUAAAUUUCGACUAUUUACCCCAGGAAUAAACUAAUUGCUGCUGUAAAACACCCUUUCCCACACUGUCCAGCACACAUCUGUAAAUUCCAAGAGGGAUGGGUGUGAGCUGGCUGCCAGUCGGCCUCUGGAAAGGAAUAUGGCGGCUGGCCAACUGGAAGCCAGUUUAUUAUUCACGGCGGAAGAGAACUUGAACUUCUUAUUGCAAAUACCCCACAUGCUUCGGUGUUUACCUUUGAACUACACAACUUGGACCUUAAUUUGUAAUAAGCCCGUGUGUACUGCUGGCUGUGGACUGGUGGCAAAGGCAUAGGGAAGGGAAGACAAUAUCGUAUCUCAAAUAUUUACUGAAUACCUGUGAAACGCCAGGUGGCAUGUUGGUUGCUGACAAUUGUACAUGGGAGUUCUAUAUUCUUAGAGGAAUUCACAGAACGGGGGUAAAAUCCAUUCUCUCCAUUGCCGCCAACUAUUAAACCUGUAAGUGCAGGUUUUGCUCCAAACACCCUUUCAACUUCUCUUCCUUACGUUUUCAUCAUCAAGACUGGAGGUCUUACCAGGGUUUUACAAGGUGUAUGACAAGAGCAUCUUCUGACGUAGCUCACCUUCAGAAGGUCUGUGCUUUUGUGCCUUUGAACAAACUAUUGUUUCUGCCUAAAACCUCUCUCUCCUGCUUCUCCGAGUGUGAAAAGCAUACAAAUCUCUGACGACCCAACCCAAGUGUGGGAGGUGGAGAGAGACACAAGCAUCCUGGAAGGAUACAGUAGACAACCUCACAGGAAAGGACCAAAACGAGCCCAGGGUUGUGAAGAUGGGAACCGGGAAGCCUAUAGGGACCAACACUUUCAAUACGUCUUUCCAGUAUCCUGGCGCCUUCCCAUUCCUGCUUCGGAAUCCAGCUGAAAUGUUACCUCAUCAGAGAAGCCUUUCCUGACCAGCCAGUCCAACAACAUGCUCCCUCACUCUGCUCCGUGGGGUGUGCUCAUAGCAUGGACCGCAACUUGGGAUCGUCGGCGAGUCGGCCUGUUCCCUUCUCUGCCGUCUUUACCCCGGGUGGGCUGCGAGCUCUGCAGAGUUACACAGGUCUCCUGCCUUCCUGCCCAUACAGACGGGGCCUGAUACGGUGCCUGGCAAGCAACCAAUGUUUGUGGGUGGACGAAUGUAUCAGAAGAUAAAGAUUCAAAUUCUGGCUUGAUCACUGACAGUCAUCUUGGGCAAAAUACUUCUUUCUUUUCUUCCUUUUUCAAAUUUUUUAUUUUAAUUUAUGGCUUUUAUUGAAGUAUAGUUGAUUUACAAUGUUGUGUUCAUGUCUGCUGUUCUCCUUUCUAAGUGUCCGUUUCCUCUUCAACAAAAUCAGGAGACUCCAGAAUUAUUCUGAUUCACUGAAAACUACUCAAGCCUCCCUCUCUGAGACGCCUUCCCUAAUUAACCCAUCUCAUUCUGACGCUGAAUGCCUACGCUGAAAUACUAUUUUGCAGCUAUUUUAUGGUUAUUGUAAGGUCUUUGGAGACAGGAAGCAAUGGUUCUUGGAAAAGGAGAGAAUUCUGGGUCACCUGGAAUUUUUGAGACUCCUGAAAUAUCUUCAAAGAAGGUAGAAAUUCCUAAAUAUGUUUACAAAAAGUAUGAUACAAUAUUAAUGCUUACGUUGAACGCAUUCAUGUUUUAAACACAAACGUACGAUGCAAUGUAGCUAUGCUAUGUGUAGAAAACUGUCCACACUUCCUUCGACAAAAACAUUACUCAGGUGCUUACUGACUGUCAAUUACGAGCAUUAAAGACCACUAUCCACCUGCUGUCACAUUUAAUAUGACAAAUCCUGCAGGACAGCCUGUUAUUUCAGGGAUCCCAGUGAACCCUGCUUUCCAGUAUUUACACCCUGUGAGUCUCCACACACACUGAGGCUGAGCUUGGCCACGGGACCAGCUUUGGCCAGUAAGACUUUAGCAGGAAUUAUGCAGGGGCGCUCCCACAUCGGGGGUCGUCCUGGGGCUUGUCCUCGUGAGCUGCUCCUCCAUGGAACCCAUACACCAUGAUUCGAGGAGGCCCACCUGGUGGAGAAUCCAGGCCCUGGUCCUAGCAGAGCUCUCAGGCAGCAGCCCGCAGCACUUACUAACCACGUGAGUGAGGACAUUUCGACCUUCCACACACCCCAUGAAGCAGAACUGCCUAUCAACCAACCAAGAGAAUCAGGAGGAAAAAAAAAUAAUUCAUUGUUGUUUUAGGCCACCACAUUUGGAGGUGGUUUGCUACUGAGCAAUCAGAUAACAGAAACACCCUGAAAAGUAGAUAUCAUCUCAUUUGCACAGAGGAGUCAGAAGUGGCAAGUGACCAAACUCACAUCACUGUUGUGAUUCUCAUCUUUACUGACCACCUUCUCUGGAGGAAAGCAAGUUAAUCUUCAAAACAGCCAAUAUGUCAACAGGUCCUACUAAAGAAGAGCCUCUGUGCGGACCAUCUGACCCGGUUCCCUCCACCCCAAAGCCAUAGACAAUUGAAAGCAGUUGGCAACGAACUCAAAAACAGCCAAAUCACCAACUGACCUACAGCCUCCACUACGGCUUCGCAACGGCAUGAAAAGCCAUGCUGAACCCACCAGGCUCCCUGUCUCAAGAGCUCUAACUAAACAGACGGGAUGCCUACGGCAGCUGAGCAGCAGAAACUGAAGCCAACAUGGUAGCACGAGUCAGCAUACGACAGAUCAUAACACACCAAAGCUAUGAGAAAACAUAAAAUCAAAUGAACAAGCAUAAGCUAUAAAGUAGAAAAAAUAACAGUGUUCAGGUAAAUAACUUCUUCGUAGACAUUCAGAAGCAGAAGCGGGCAGAGGAAACAGUCCAAAGCAGCAGAAACAGGAAAACGUGCUACGUGUUGGCAUCUCCACACGGCUCCCAAGAACUGCCUGGUUUCCUGAUGGUUUUCCAGUUGUGAUUUUUAAAAGGUUAUGGUCUUAUAAUAAACUGAUCUU
Long non-coding RNA from Aethalodelphis obliquidens (Pacific white-sided dolphin), 10834 nucleotides. RefSeq lists it as uncharacterized. NCBI's taxonomy places the organism in Eukaryota, Metazoa, Chordata, Mammalia, Artiodactyla, Delphinidae. The transcript is spliced from 4 exons. The record is from RefSeq and is a predicted model, not a curated record.